AGAACCGCACCAAUCCAGCGGCGAAACCCCAUAACAAGUCCCCGAGAGCUUUUGCCGUUUAGAUAUCGUUUAUGACACUCAGCCACAAACACACUCGGGCUCACAUCCGCUCGGUGCUCAAUUCCAAACGACCCCGUUCGUUAAGCCGGCUCGCGUGCCUUGGCAUUAUGAUUUCCAAAUUGGAUCCAUGGACUCCCGUUUCGUCAACUUGCCUGUUUGUUAUGCAACAAUGUCUCUCCCCGAUUUAGAUAUCAGCCUUUAAAAGCGGCUUAAUCUUACGAUUUUCCUAGCGGUUCUUAUGUGACAUUAAAGCUAAACAAAGAA
This is a non-coding RNA of Drosophila suzukii, 324 nucleotides long. NCBI's taxonomy places the organism in Eukaryota, Metazoa, Arthropoda, Insecta, Diptera, Drosophilidae. The record is from RefSeq and is a predicted model, not a curated record.